ACUUAGUGGCGGACGGGUGAGUAACGCGUGGGUAACCUGGCCCAUACAGGGGGAUAACACUUAGAAAUAGGUGCUAAUACCGCAUAGCAACAGAAAGCGCAUGCUUUUUGUUUGAAAACCAAGGUGGUAUGGGAUGGACCCGCGUCUGAUUAGCUGGUUGGCGGGGUAAAGGCCCACCAAGGCGACGAUCAGUAGCCGGCCUGAGAGGGUGGACGGCCACAUUGGGACUGAGACACGGCCCAAACUCCUACGGAAGGCAGCAG
RNAcentral lists this ribosomal RNA (263 nucleotides) under uncultured bacterium. Its description in RNAcentral is "partial 16S ribosomal RNA". It matches the Rfam family "Bacterial small subunit ribosomal RNA", at positions 90 to 354 of the family's 1533-position model. The record is from RNAcentral.